Molecule: long non-coding RNA, 477 nt
Organism: Hevea brasiliensis (rubber tree)
Lineage: Eukaryota; Viridiplantae; Streptophyta; Magnoliopsida; Malpighiales; Euphorbiaceae
Exons: 3
Source: RefSeq, a predicted model, not a curated record
AUAUAUAAAAGACAAAAUACAUUUAAUUAGUGUCUAUCUUCUUUUUCUUCUAUCUAAACUAGCCGAACCACCUAGCUUCUCCUCUUCCUCCAUUUUUCUUCCAUUUCCAAGCUUCAUUUUCUUGAUAUUCUUCCAUAAAUCACCUAGCUCCUAAAGUAAAAGCUUGUAAUUUGGUCUUGAUAAGAAGAUUGGUAGCAAAAGGAAGUGAGGAAAUUGAAGUUUUGGAAAUUAGAAAAAUCUCUCAAGUGAGGUAUUGGAGAUAAAGCUCAGUAGAUAGUGGAUUGGGAUUUUAGACUACAGAUCUGCAGAAGUAUAAGUUGUGUCACCUCCUCACAGCAGUGCAUUUUGGCUCUCUGUUUAGUUUAUGAUCAAAACCAAACUUGAAGAUGGGUUGCUUGAAUUGAAUCCUAAGAUAGACAAGACUCUUAGAGCCAUCAAGAGUGAGAGGAGACAACAAUAAACAAAACCAGAAGUUAU